Molecule: ribosomal RNA, 253 nt
Filed under: uncultured bacterium
Lineage: Bacteria
Description: partial 16S ribosomal RNA
Rfam family: Bacterial small subunit ribosomal RNA
Source: RNAcentral
UACGGAGGAUCCAAGCGUUAUCCGGAUUUAUUGGGUUUAAAGGGUGCGUAGGCGGCCUGUUAAGUCAGGGGUGAAAGACGGUAGCUCAACUAUCGCAGUGCCCUUGAUACUGAUGGGCUUGAGUAAACUAGAGGUAGGCGGAAUGUGACAAGUAGCGGUGAAAUGCAUAGAUAUGUCACAGAACACCGAUUGCGAAGGCAGCUUACCAUGGUUUGAUUGACGCUGAGGCACGAAAGCGUGGGGAUCAAACAGG